GGGACCCCUCCUCAGCCAUAAGGUGCGGGCGGCACCCCGAGCUUCCCAGGGACCCCAACCCCCCCACACCACCUCCCCCCCCCACCCCCCGGGACCCCCACCCUCCUUGCAGCCCUGCACCGAACCCCAUCACAGCACUGCUGUGGGGUGGGGAUGUGAUGGGGGGGGGGGGCAGCUGCAGCAAAAGGGUCCAAUGGUGUCUGACCCCAAAUUGGGGGCUGACCCCACGGGGACCCCGUAGCAUCCGACCCCACGAGUGGGGGGACCCAAAGGACACCAUACAGCACCCAACCACAGCGGUGGGGGGGACCCCGUGGGCACCCUGUGGUGUCUGACCCCAAAAUUGGGGGCUGAUCCUAUGGGCUCCCUAUGGUGUCUGACCCCAAAAUUGGGGGGUGGUCCUAUGGGCACCCUAUGGUGUCUGACCCCAAAUCGAGGGGUGACCCUACGGAUUCCCCAUGGUGCCCAAACCCAAAGUGGGGGCUGCCCAAAGGGAUACCCCAUAGUGCCUGACCCCAAUCUGGGGCUGACCCCAUGGGUGCCCUAUGUUGCCCCAUCCCAAGCUGGGGGGUGGCCCUAUGGGCACCCUAUGGUGUCUGCCCCCCAAAUUGGGGGGUGGCCCUAUGGGCUCCCUAUGGUGUCUGCCCCCCAAAUUGGGGGGUGGUCCCACUGCCGCCCCGUGGCAUCCGACCCCAAACCGAGGGCUGACCCCACGGCUACCUUAUGGUGCCCAACCCCAAAGCGGGGGAUAACAGCGGGGUGCCCCUCGGUGCCCCACCCCCCGGCACCCCGGGAGGGGCGCAUUCCCGGCCCCACAGCUCCCGGUGGGUUGGGGACCCCCCCCCCGUUGCGUUUUGGGGACCCCCAGGCGCACUCACCCUGCAGCCCCGCGUCCCUCUGCCGCUCCCAGCGCGUCCCCUCCUGCAGGGCGCUGCGUCCCACUGCCUCUCCGUGGGAGGGGGGGGUGCACCCAAAACACAGCAACAACCCCAAACCCGCAGCCCCCACUGGGGGUGGGGGGGGCCCAGAACGCGGCGCGGGGUUCAACCCAAAAAGGGGGGGGGGACCCUAAACCCCAAACCUGCGGCGUGCUGCUGCGUUGCUGCCUCUGCUCCGCAUCUCCCGACCCCCACAUUGCCCCCCCCAUGGCGUGGGGCGACCCUACAACCUUAUGGGGCGACCCUACAACCCUAUGGGGUGAGCCCAGGGGAGGGGGAUGGGACAGACAGUGAGGUGGGGGGGAGCACAGAAGGUGCAGCAGCAGAGGAGAAGUGCAGCGCCCAGCAGCAAUGCAGCGCCCAGCAGCAAUGCAUCGCUCAGCAGCAAUGCAGCAGCAGCAGCAGAAGUUGCUGCAGGGAUGCAAGGAUGCGUUGCUGGGGGGGUGCAGGGACGGAAUGCUGCAGAGAUGCAGGGGUGUGGAUGCAGGGCUGCAGGGAUGUGGAUGCAGGGCUGCAGGGCUGCAGGGCUGCAGAGAUGUGUGGGUGCAGGGCUGCAGGGCUUUGUGGAUGCAGGGUUUUGUGGAUACAAAGAUGCAGGGAUGUGGAUGCAGGGCUGCAGAGAUGCAGGGCUGCAGGGCUGUGGCUGCAGGGCUGUGGCUGCAGGGCUGCAGGGCUGCAGAGCAGGGCCGUACCUGAGAAGAAGUGCGCCUUGAAGCCCUUCUUGGACACGGUGUUGUCGGACUUGAACUCGAUGCGCAUGUUGUUGUACUGCGACGUGAUGACGGCCGGCCGCGCCGCGCCGCAGAACUUCCCGUGCAGCUUGGAGUCGGCCGUCAGCCCGCUGCGCACCUCCACAAAGUCGUACUUACACACCUGGGGGGCGGGGCGGCUGGGUGACACGGGGGGGUGACGGGGGG
RNAcentral lists this long non-coding RNA (1855 nucleotides) under Phasianus colchicus (ring-necked pheasant). RNAcentral describes it as "lncRNA (ENSPCLG00000017541.1)". Lineage: Eukaryota; Metazoa; Chordata; Aves; Galliformes; Phasianidae. The record is from RNAcentral.